This 76-nucleotide transfer RNA is filed under the name Chloroflexota bacterium. RNAcentral describes it as "tRNA-Glu". It matches the Rfam family "tRNA". From Rfam's summary of the family: Transfer RNA (tRNA) molecules are approximately 80 nucleotides in length. Their secondary structure includes four short double-helical elements and three loops (D, anti-codon, and T loops). Lineage: Bacteria; Bacillati; Chloroflexota. The record is from RNAcentral.
ACACCUAUCGUCUAAAUGGUUAGGAUAUAAGACUUUCAAUCUUAUGGUACGGGUUCGAUUCCCGUUGGGUGUACCA